RNAcentral lists this ribosomal RNA (497 nucleotides) under uncultured bacterium. Its description in RNAcentral is "partial 16S ribosomal RNA". It matches the Rfam family "Bacterial small subunit ribosomal RNA", at positions 28 to 507 of the family's 1533-position model. The record is from RNAcentral.
GAUGAACGCUGGCGGCGUGCCUAAUACAUGCAAGUCGAGCGAACAGACGAGGAGCUUGCUCCUCUGACGUUAGCGGCGGACGGGUGAGUAACACGUGGAUAACCUACCUAUAAGACUGGGAUAACUUCGGGAAACCGGAGCUAAUACCGGAUAAUAUAUUGAACCGCAUGGUUCAAUAGUGAAAGACGGUUUUGCUGUCACUUAUAGAUGGAUCCGCGCCGCAUUAGCUAGUUGGUAAGGUAAUGGCUUACCAAGGCAACGAUGCGUAGCCGACCUUAGAGGGUGAUCGGCCACACUGGAACUGAGACACGGUCCAGACUCCUACGGGAGGCAGCAGUAGGGAAUCUUCCGCAAUGGGCGAAAGCCUGACGGAGCAACGCCGCGUGAGUGAUGAAGGUCUUCGGAUCGUAAAACUCUGUUAUUAGGGAAGAACAAAUGUGUAAGUAACUAUGCACGUCUUGACGGUACCUAAUCAGAAAGCCACGGCUAACUACGUG